UGCCUUAGGUUUCGCCCCCGAAACUCCAAGUUCGACCGUCGAACGUUGCAUGGUUUUGCAUGCAGCUUUGGCUGCCGAAGGAGAGGCGGUUGGCCACCUAUAAAAGGCCCCUUAUCCGGAUUUGAGGUGAGUUUUCUCUCUCUUUUCGGGUAUAGGUGAGUUCUUGAUCUCCUUGGGUUGAUUUGUUGUUGUUUCUUCAAAUCUUUCAAAGUUAAGCAAGUUUUAAGUAGGUUUUAUAUGGUUUUGAAGAGUUUUGGAGCUUGGAGACUUUUGGAGCUGGAUUCUCCAUAUCUUCAAGUUUGGAUCGCCAUUCCUCUCGUUCUUCAAGAGAUAAGUAUAGAUCCUUAGCUUUUACAGUGUUUUAAGUGAGUGUUAUGAAGGGAAAGGGUUAGUUUGCAUGAGUUUUGCAUGGUUGUGCAUGUGAGGGUUUAUGGACCCUUUAUGCCUUUGUAUGCUAUAUGAGUUGUUUUUGGGGUUUUGAGCUUGUUCUAAGCCCCUAUGUGCAAGAAGAAGUGUNNNNNNNNNNNNNNNNNNNNNNNNNNNNNNNNNNNNNNNNNNNNNNNNNNNNNGUCAGCAAGAGUAAAGAGUAAAGUCAGGACUAUGGCUAAGGUUAUGAGUUUGUAAUAGAAGUUUAGUGGACAUGUAUCUUAAUGUAUCUUAAUGUAUCUUGAUGUACAGUUAUGUAUAGACAUGUUUUAACAUGUAUUGUAUUCAGAGUUAUAGUUUGUGCUUGGCCCUAGAGUUUGGAUAAUCCUUUUGUACAUGGACCCUGUUUUACGUUUCUUGAUGAGAAAUGUGUUAAACCAAGCCUGAUGUAUUAUGCUGACCCAUCUAGAUGUGGUUCUAUGUUUUGAGACAUAGUCAAGCUUGGUAAAUGAAAGAAAAGUUUGAAGUAAAAGAGUUUUACAGUUUUCAGUUUUAUGUUUAGAGCAGCUGUAUGGUACCAGAGCCUAGGUCACAGUAGUAUACUGUGCUACACAGUGGAUGUGUUAUGGGAAGAAAGGGUUUCAAUCCCUUGACCCAAAGAGCUUCAGGAUUCACUGGUGUAGGCCUAGAGGCUUUUUCAGUUUGAUAUCACUCUCAGAGUGCAUACACUGCCUGCUCAAGUUACGCCUAGUAUUUAAAGCAAAGUUUUAAAGCAGUUUCAGAGCAGAAGUCCAGUCUGUUACAGAUUGGUAUUUAAAGAAAAGUUUUAAAGUUUUAGCAGAUAAUGUGGGUCAUGUAUGGGAUUAUUCCAGCUGUGCAGAGAGUUUAGCGGCUUGCUACGGGUCUCGACGGUCUUAAGCAGAUCUGGAUCCUAGUGCCGAUGGUGGUUCGGGCCGUUAUAGAGGGGUAUCGAUUUUCGAACUGUUACAGAUUGGUAUCAGAUCAUAGGGCCUCAAGAGUACGAUGUGCUGAGCGAAGACGCUCAAGGAUUAGAGGUAUCCCACAUCGGAAAGAGGUUCUUUUAGAGGGCAAGCACACUAGUAAGAUCAUGUCCACUAGGAUAGGAUGUGGAGUCCUAUCUUGUAUGAUGUUGUGGAUGAAUAUUGGUGGAUCCUCUAGCCCUCAGCAUGCAUGAGAUGACAUGUAUGAGUUGAGCAGACUAGGUGUGGCUUAGUUGCCCCUGGUACAGAGGAAGAGAGUCCAGGAGGCCGUGUUGCCCCUGGCAUAGUUGGACAUAUCUAUGUUAUGGAGAUGUAGAGGGCUAUUGGUGACCAGUUCCUCCAUGAGAUGAGAUGCUUUGCAUGUGUAUGGAGUUCAUGUGUUACCAUAUGGAUCAUAUGAUGAUAGGCCCAUAUGAUGUUAUGUUUAUGUGAUGCUGUGUUUUUGUGGUGCCAUGGUUGAUGUGGACUCAUGUGUAACCGCAUGGGCCAUGUGAUGCUAUGGUUUCUGUGUGUGUGCUCUUUUCUUAGCAGGCAGGAUGAGAGGUACUCGUUGAUCUACGGGAUUGACAGGAGUUUCUCUUGAGAGGAAAGGUACAGAUACUUUCCCCUUGUUCUGCCAAGAGCGCAGUAGUGUAGCAUCAACAGAGAGGGUUCAUCAAGGGACCCUAGGAGGUCUUUUGAUGUAGUCAGAGGUAGACUGGACCCUAGAGGAUGUCAACUGCUGUGAGAGUAGCAGCGUUAGAUGUUCAGAUAAGAAAGUUAAUAGAUAGAUGUUCAUAGAAGAGUUAGUAGCUAGAGGUUAGUGUGCCAGAGAAGAGCUUGAGAGAGUUGCUAUGAGAUGCUAUGGCCUCGGGUUUUAAAACCCCAGGCAUAGUGAGAGUUGAUCUCUCAUCUCUGAGUGCAGCCCCCUCAAGUAGAGUAAGUGAGAUAGAGCAGAGUAAGAAGAAGCAGAGUAAGUGAGCUAGAGCAGAGUAAGAGGUAGAAAAGAGUAAGUGUAAGUUCAGGUAGAGGUUUCAGUUCGGUCUGGGAUGAGGUGGUGGUUGAGGCAGGAGGAGAGGGUUAUCCUUUUCUUCAGUAGGUUCCCGAGGGAAGAUCCGUCAGGUUCAGCUUGGAUCUUCACUUUGACUCAGCAGGAGGCUAUCACAGCGGACAUGGUGACGUCAGGUACGUUCACUUGUGGGUGUUCGGAUGUGUGUGCUGUUUUUGGACCCUAGUGUUUCUCUUUCCUAGUUGCUUUGUGAGCCAUAGAGGGAGGGUUUGAUAGCUUCUGGGCUUAGAGUGUCCUCUUUGGGUGAGUAGACCCAAGUGUAAUCCAUCAGAGGCAGAGUCAGUCUGCCAGUAUAGUUCAGAGCAUGUUGAGAGAGUAGAUGCCUUCCAGCUGACCUUAUGGUUCUAGAUGUGACUGUUUGACGUCCUUCUAGUGGUGGAUUGGCUAGCUACUUGUAGUGCUACCGAGUCUGCAGAGACAAGGUAGUUAUGUUCAGAGUUCAGGAUGGAUCAGAGGUAGUCCCUGGAAGGGACAGAGUAGUGCCUAGAGGUGUGAUGUCAACCCUACAGGCUCAUAGUUAGCUCAGGAAAGAUUGUCAGAGGGUUUCUAGCUCUUGUUGGAGAGUUCUGCAGUCAGGUCAGGGAAUCAGCCUCAGUGGCUAGAGAGUUCUUAGAUGUUACCCAGACGAGCUGUCAAGUUUACCAUCUGUCAGGGAGAUAGAGUUUGGAGUAGGAGUGGUGUCUGGAUCCAGAACCAUUUCUUUCCUUCCCUACAGGAUGGCACCUGCAGAGUAGAGAGAGUUAGUAGUCAGAGUAGUAGAGAGGCUUGGUAGAUAAGGGUAUUAUCCGACCUAGUACCUCACCCUGAAGUGUUCCAAUAUGGUUGUGGGAAACGAAGGAUGGAUCCUUGAGACUUUGUAGCGACUGUAAGUGGUUGAACAAGGUCACUACCAAGGACAGGUAUUCCCAUGCAGGAUUGAUGAUCUAUUGGAACAGCUUGUAGGCGCAGGUUAUGUUCCUAGAUAGAUCAGAGGUUCGGGUACUACCUGUUGAGAGUUAGAGAAGAAGCCAGUUUAGAUAGAUGAAGAGAGAAGUGCAAGAGUCAGAGUGCGCAGCGGAAGCUGUUGCAGUUCUGGAGACGUUGAGGUAUUGCUGGAGGUGUCUCCUAGUAAGGGUGAUUCGUUUUGAGAAGGAGAGGUAAGCUAGCUCGAAGAUACAUCGGACCCUUUGAAAUCCUGCAAAGAAUUGGGGAUGUAUCCUACCAGUUAGGUUUACCUGCUUCUUAGAGGAGAUCUAUUCGGUUUUCCUUGUUUCCUUGAUUCUGGAGUUGUGUCGGAUCCGAGUGAGGUUCUUUUGAACCAGAGGUGGAGAUCUCAGGGAAUCUCACCUGUUUAGAGCUGCUAGAGCGGGAAUCAUAGACACACAGGUCAGAGUGUAGAGGAACAGGAAGUUCCGGUGGUGUUAGUCCUUGGAAUCACCUCAGUAGUAUUUAGUGUGCUUGGGAGACCGUGAGUUUUUACUCCAGUAGUACCAUGUCUCUUUUAUGUGUUAUGUGUUAUGUGUUUAUGUUAUGGCUUGAGUAUGCAUGUGUUAGAGGAAGAACAUUCGGGGACGAAUGUUUUUUUUUAAGGGGGGUAGAUUGUAAUAUCCGGCUAGAUUCAAGCAUCGGAAUUCCUACCGUCCAGUGGAAUUCGAGGAUGUCGGAGGUUUCUAGAAGGGUAAAGGAAAGGUUUUCUCAAAUGUUUUUAAGUGUUUUAUGGUUUUCAGUAGCAAGGAGUUGCGUUUUGAAGAGAAAAGACCAAGGAGGCUUUGGCCAGGUUCGGCCGCCGAAAGUGAUGUUUGGCCGCUGAAAGUGCCUUAGGUUUCGCCCCCGAAACUCCAAGUUCGGCCGCUGAACGUUGCAUGGUUUUGCAUGCAGCUUUGGCUGCCGAAGGAGAGGAUGUUGGCCACCUAUAAAAGGCCCCUUAUCCGGAUUUGAGGUGAGUUUUCUCUCUCUUUUCAGGUAUAGGUGAGUUCUUGAUCUCCUUGGGUUGAUUUGUUGUUGUUUCUUCAAAUCUUUCAAAGUUAAGCAAGUUUUAAGUAGGUUUUAUGUGGUUUUGAAGAGUUUU
RNAcentral lists this long non-coding RNA (4462 nucleotides) under Manihot esculenta (cassava). RNAcentral describes it as "long non-coding RNA (MESC_LNC004650)". Lineage: Eukaryota; Viridiplantae; Streptophyta; Magnoliopsida; Malpighiales; Euphorbiaceae. The record is from RNAcentral.